UUGCAACUUUUGUGUUUUAAACCACUGUGGUGUCGCCGGACGUCAUAGUGUUAAUUCUUUUCAUUAUUAAUAAUUGUGUAUUUUAAAAUGAUUAACGCAAAAAGAGCUGUGUGAUGUACAAUACUUGGUUAGUAAAUCUGAGCGCUCGAGUUCGGCAAUCCCCGUAACGCCCCGUCAAUUGUUCACAAUGCUCGAAUGUCUAGGAUUUUCUCGACAUAAAUGGGACUCAAACGGUUAAAUAAGCAAACGAAUGAAAAUAUUCACGUGCAAUAAAUUAAAAUUGUUAAAAA
RNAcentral lists this long non-coding RNA (290 nucleotides) under Polistes fuscatus (common paper wasp). RNAcentral's name for it is "uncharacterized LOC122515180". The record is from RNAcentral. Lineage: Eukaryota; Metazoa; Arthropoda; Insecta; Hymenoptera; Vespidae.